RNAcentral lists this ribosomal RNA (924 nucleotides) under uncultured bacterium. RNAcentral's name for it is "bacterial SSU rRNA". It matches the Rfam family "Bacterial small subunit ribosomal RNA", at positions 1 to 924 of the family's 1533-position model. The record is from RNAcentral.
GCCCUUAGAGUUUGAUCCUGGCUCAGGAUGAACGCUGGCGGUAUGCUUUACACAUGCAAGUCGUACGAGAGUUUUUAACUCAAGUGGCGGACGGGUGAGUAACACGUAAGAAUUUGCCUUUAGGAGGGGGAUAACAACUGGAAACGGUUGCUAAUACCCCAUAUGCUUUCGAGUAAAAAUGGAUUUUCCGCCUAAAGAGAAGCUUGCGGCUGAUUAGCUUGUUGGUGAGGUAAUGGCUCACCAAGGCGACGAUCAGUAUCUGGUUUGAGAAGGACGAUCCAGACACACUGGAACUGAGACACGGUCCAGACUCCUUACGGGGAGGGCAGCAGGUGGGGAAUUUUUCCGCAAUGGGGCGAAAGCCUGACGGGAGCAAUACCGCGGUGAGGGGAUGAACGGGCCUAUGGGUUGUAACACCUCUUUUUUUCAGGGAGGAAUCAAUGAACGUGUACCUGAAGAAAUAAGCAUCGGCUAAACUCUCGUGCCAGCAGCCCGCGGUAAGACGGAGAGAUGCCAAGUGUUUAUCUCGGAAUCACUGGGGCGUAAAGCGUCUGUAGGUGGGUUCAAAAUAAAGUCAACUGUUAAAUUCUUGAGGCGUCAACCCUCAAAAUCCGCAGUCGAAACUAUUUCGACUAGAGUAUAGUAAGGGGUAAAGGGGAAUUUCUCAGUGGGAGCGGUGAAAUGCGUAGAGAUUGGAAAGAACACCGAUGGCGAAGGCACUUUUACUGGGCUAUUACUAACACUGAGAGACGAAAGCUAGGGUAGCAAAUGGGGAUUAGAUACCCCCAGUAGUCCUAGCCGUAAACAAUGGAUACUAGAUGUUGAACAGAUCGACCUGUGCAGUAUCAAAGCUAACGCGUUAAGUAUCUCGCCUGGGAAGUAUGCUCGCAAGAGUGGAACUCAAAUGAAUUGACGGGGAAGGGC